Molecule: long non-coding RNA, 1180 nt
Organism: Homo sapiens (human)
Lineage: Eukaryota; Metazoa; Chordata; Mammalia; Primates; Hominidae
Source: Ensembl
GCUGUUCUAUUUGCACAGAGUGCUGGUGCUACUUUGCAUGUUGAGCGUCGACAAGAAAAUGACACAAAGCAACUUGCCAGCCAUAACUUUACACUUAGUUCCAUACAUAUUUGGAGUUAGCCGAUGGCGUUUCAGCAAGCACAUAUUUUAUAGGAUGCCUUUAAUCAUAAGCCACAGCUUUUAAUUUUUGUUCCUCUUGCCAUGUUAUAGAUAUGGCUGAUGACAUCUUCCUCCUUGUGGUAGAUAAAGAAAAAGCACAAGAAAAAUCAUUUCCAGGCUGUGGUCUCACAGUGACUUGUGGAGCAAGCCUAUAAAUAAGAAUGGUGGAUAAAGAUUGCGAAUUUGCACAGCUAUAAAGCUUACUAAUUAAAGACUACAAACACAAAGAGAGCAAGCCUUGUGAUGACUGCACAAUAACGAGGAUUCAGAUACAACGUGGUCGCCACCUGACGCCCACCUCCACAAAAAGCCAUUCUCAAAAGGAGAGAGACAUUCAUAUCCAGAAGAGGGAGUCGGCUGUAGGGUAGAGAUGUUCGUCUGAAGAUUUCAAAGCCCACUGCUGAUUUAAGGUCAUUCACAUUCAGCCAUGAAGCUGCUCUGAAGACACAGGAACUGCAUAGCUCCCUACUGGGAAUGUCAAGGGCUGUGAAAGGUCUAAGGUUUUAUCCUACUUGCAACCAACAAGCUAUGCAGCCACAGUUUUAUGGAUGCUGUCAAAAGACAUGACACUCCUGGGUUAUUUGCAACUUACCUGGCUAAGCUGAACUCCAGAAUUUGGACUAGAGGCUUCAGGAUGCUGGUGCAGUUCAAGUCUGGUCCACAUGUCUCCUCCUCCUUCGAGGGUCAUUGACUACUUUGUGUAUCUUCUUUUCAUGACAGUUCAUAUGAGUGCAAGAUGGCUCGAUAGACUUGCACACAAGUUUAAAGAUUUUUGUAUACACCUCAUUCCAUUGUUAAAGCAAGUUGCAUGGUCAAAUCUAACAUCUCUGGACAAGGACAUGCAUUCAUACCACUCUACUGCACUGCAAGCUCACGCAGAGGAGCAGAUCAUAAAACGUGAUUGAUGCAUGAUGAUGAUAAUGACCAACCUACCAUCAUGGACAUGACCGUAUGUUGAUACUAAGCCUCUUAGUAAAAUGAGCUAAAGAAACCAGAACUAUCUGCCUUCAGCUCAGCUGUC